Molecule: long non-coding RNA, 652 nt
Organism: Symphalangus syndactylus (siamang)
Lineage: Eukaryota; Metazoa; Chordata; Mammalia; Primates; Hylobatidae
Source: RefSeq, a predicted model, not a curated record
GAGCGGCAGAACUCGUAGCUAGAGAACGAGGACCCACGAUGCGUACACGUUACAGUCCUGUUUCCCUAGAAACGGAGCCGCCGGCGCGGAGGUGGCUUUGAGGUUCUGCGAAAGACCUGAGUGCUCUCCGACACUUAACUGUGUUGCACCCUCCCCCGCGCCCAAUCCAAACCCAGUCGGAAUAACCACCCGGGACAGCGGUGGUCGAAGUAACUACGCCUAACUUUUCGCUUUCCAUCGUGUCCCCUCCAUAAAAACACUGCUGCGCCCCCGGAAUCCAAAGGCAAAGGAGGCACACUUCCCUGCCUUAGACUUGCUGGGAGUUUUAUAGGGGCAGUGCAUAACGUACAUGAUGGUGUGUGACGAUUCGGAUAGUAGUACGAGUCAUAAACCCAAAUUCCCAUAGGAUCCGGCCAGGACUUCUAAAAUUCCUUGCAAGACAAGUCUACUGGUGACAAAUUCCCUCAAAUUUUGUUUGCCUGAGAAAGUCUUUCUCCCUCACUGUUGAAGGAUAAUUUCACUGGAUACAGAAUUCUAGAAAUUGAACUUCCUACUGCAGAAAACUUCCUGCUAAGGUUAUCACCUCUUGGAGAACAAACUGGAAUGACAGAGUCAUGUGUCCAGGCUGGCUCCUCAAAAGAUCCCAGAAGAG